AUGCCGUCCAAGGGAUUGGCCAGGGAGUUCAGCUCUAGGAUCGAGGAGGAUCGUCUGCCUGGCGCUGGUGGGGUGCUGCCGGUGCAGGAUAUGACACAGGAGGAGGGCCUGAGUGCUGCUGUGGUGGUGGGCCAGGAGAGGCCGGUGCCAGAGGGUCCCAGCGCAGCUGCGCAGGUGGCCUUGGUCGAAUCGCAGGUCCCACAUGAUUCUCUACGGCAGGUGGGCGCGGUGGCUGGGGCCUGGCUGGAGGGUGACAAGUCCUGUUCGCCGCAUGGAAUCCUGGGCGGGGAACCAUCGCAGGAGAAUCUGUCGAAUGGCUGGGCACCAGUGCCGGAGCUGAUUGUCGCCAACCCAGAGAGGCUGGGGAUCGGUGCGGACGGGACAGCUGCCUUGUCGGAGCCGGGCCAUGUGGAGCCGACCCAGGGGGAUUUGAUGGAGGUAACCAAGACAGGUGCACAUGCACUGGUGAAGGAUGGCACGGAGGGAGAUGUGACUACGUCCGAUGCCCACGCAGACAAAUCGGGGCAGGACGGCGUGAUGGUUGUGCAUGGCCAGCCUAUCGGCAUGCAGAGCGAGGGUUCGAACCUGACAGACAAGGAGGCGACUGCACUGGGCAACAUAAAAUCAUUCUGUGCGGGUUUGCUCAAGAAACUGGCACCACCAUUGCUGAGGGAAAUCGAAGGGAUCCGUGGGGUGCGUGCGGGACAAGACCCGUUCACCCCAGGGCGUAACACACGCUCGUCCGGGGCCAUUGGCCAAAACAAGAAGAGCAAAGCGACGGCAGCCGAAACGGUUCUUCUCAAGGCGUUGGGGAUCUCAUGCGAGGAUCUGGCAGUCAUGGAGGACGCGCUAGGUCAACUAAGGGAGAUGUUCGACUCCCCAGUCCAGGAGCAGCAUUUGAGGGCGAUAGCAGCGAUUUUUGGCAAGGUUGUUCCUACAAACCUGGCCAGCGAGAUGGAGCAGUGUGCAUGGGUAGCCAUCUAG
This 984-nucleotide ribosomal RNA is filed under the name Triticum aestivum (bread wheat). Its description in RNAcentral is "partial small subunit ribosomal RNA". Lineage: Eukaryota; Viridiplantae; Streptophyta; Magnoliopsida; Poales; Poaceae. The record is from RNAcentral.